CCUACGGGAGGCUGCAGUGGGGAAUAUUGCACAAUGGGGGAAACCCUGAUGCAGCGACGCCGCGUGAGUGAAGAAGUAAUUCGUUACGUAAAGCUCUAUCAGCAGGGAAGAAAAUGACGGUACCUGAGGAAUCCGCCACGGCUAACUACGUUCCAGCCGCCGCGGUAAUACGUAGGUGGCAAGCGUUAUCCGGAUUUACUGGGUGUAAAGGGCGUGUAGGCGGGAAAGCAAGUCAGAUGUGAAAACCAUGGGCUCAACCUGGGGCCUGCAUUUGAAACUGUUUUUCUUGAGUACUGGAGAGGCAGACGGAAUUCCUAGUGUAGCGGUGAAAGGCGUAGAUAUUAGGAGGAACACCAGUGGCGAAGGCGGUCUGCUGGACAGCAACUGACGCUGAGGCGCGAAAGCGUGGGGAGCAAACAGGAUUAGAUACCCGGGUAGUC
RNAcentral lists this ribosomal RNA (440 nucleotides) under uncultured bacterium. RNAcentral's name for it is "partial 16S ribosomal RNA". It matches the Rfam family "Bacterial small subunit ribosomal RNA", at positions 338 to 795 of the family's 1533-position model. The record is from RNAcentral.